UAAAGGGUGCAUUUUGAAAACUGCCCGGUCUUAAGCAUUAGGAGAGGCAGCAAACUUUUGGUAGGACAAUCUUGUGUACACUAGUUUAGUGUGGAAACUGUUCCUCUAAGCAGCGUCCCCGUUAAGCCUAUAAAUACAAACAUUCUUCGGCGCAGACAGCCAAUGGAUCGUGUGGACACCGGCAUGUUUCUAAUUUCACCAGAAGAGCCAACGAUUGCUGCUCUGUACUGACAGAGAGCAUCAACAGAGCACUGUGACACGAGAUAACUACAUCCCGGACACCCCAUCAUCUGUCGAAGCACGGAGCGGCGCAGGGAUAAUGCACGCUGACUUGAGGAACACGCACAUGAGAAGCUUCUCGGCGCAGGGGACCAGGAUCUCCCAGGUGUAGCCGGUGAGGCGCAGCAGGCGGGGAGGCCAUGUGGGCGACAGGUGGAGGAUGAGGCGGGAGGCGGCCACGCACGCGGCCGCCAC
Long non-coding RNA from Betta splendens (Siamese fighting fish), 474 nucleotides. RefSeq lists it as uncharacterized. NCBI's taxonomy places the organism in Eukaryota, Metazoa, Chordata, Actinopteri, Anabantiformes, Osphronemidae. The transcript is spliced from 3 exons. The record is from RefSeq and is a predicted model, not a curated record.